Long non-coding RNA from Candoia aspera, 433 nucleotides. RefSeq lists it as uncharacterized. Lineage: Eukaryota; Metazoa; Chordata; Lepidosauria; Squamata; Candoiidae. The record is from RefSeq and is a predicted model, not a curated record. The transcript is spliced from 3 exons.
CCGGCUGCUGCGAAGGAACCUUUUCCUCCGUCCCGUCGGCCGACUUCAACCUUGGCGGGAUCCGCUUCAGUUUUUGCUAGAAGCCCGGGAUAAAAGCCGGCGCGCGCCGUCCAGAGGCACAGCUAAGCACGCAAUGGAUCAGAAACCCUUGGGAAUCUAUAGGGAAUCCUCUGGUCAUCCACCAACUAAGUCCUGUACACCUUCUGCCACCUUGCUUCACAGGUUUGGGGAGAACGUUCUGGAUGUAAAAGACAGCAAGGAAGAAGAGUGGAGGAUUAAGAAAGCGAUGUAGCGCCAAUGCUUAAUAAAUGCUCCUCCACCUUUCGUUCACGGCAUCUGUGCUUUCUGGGUGGGGUCAUGUGUUGGUUUCAAUGUUGUAUGAUACCCUCAGGAAACCUACCUUUUUCCUCCCACCCCAUCCUUGAGUUGUAAG